UAGGGAAUCUUCGGCAAUGGACGAAAGUCUGACCGAGCAACGCCGCGUGAGUGAAGAAGGUUUUCGGAUCGUAAAACUCUGUUGUUAGAGAAGAACAAGGACGUUAGUAACUGAACGUCCCCUGACGGUAUCUAACCAGAAAGCCACGGCUAACUACGUGCCAGCAGCCGCGGUAAUACGAAGGUGGCAAGCGUUGUCCGGAUUUAUUGGGCGUAAAGCGAGCGCAGGCGGUUUCUUAAGUCUGAUGUGAAAGCCCCCGGCUCAACCGGGGAGGGUCAUUGGAAACUGGGAGGCUUGAGUGCAGAAGAGGAGGGUGGAAUUCCAUGUGUAGCGGUGAAAUGCGUAGAUAUAUGGAGGAACACCAGUGGCGAAGGCGGCUAUCUGGUCUGUAACUGACGCUGAGGCUAGAAAGCGUGGGGAGCAAACAUG
RNAcentral lists this ribosomal RNA (429 nucleotides) under Gemmatimonadota bacterium. RNAcentral's name for it is "Gemmatimonadetes bacterium partial 16S ribosomal RNA". It matches the Rfam family "Bacterial small subunit ribosomal RNA", at positions 355 to 776 of the family's 1533-position model. Lineage: Bacteria; Pseudomonadati; Gemmatimonadota. The record is from RNAcentral.